GUAUAAAAGAAGGUGAAAGACACGCACUGUCAUUGCAACUGGAACGUCACUAGAAAACUAGCAAGGAGACACAUCUGUGCCGAUCAGGACUUCACCGUGAUCUCUAGAAGAUCAACAAUUUAAAGAAGAAGAGAGAAAAUGUUCCUGCCCCAGAGAUCUCUGCAGAUGGUUACAUUUUUGGCAGUUCUUUUUCUUUCUUGUUUUGCAACAUCGCAAGACACUGAAAAUAAAAGAGCAGUGACGGAGCAUCAGCUCAUGCAUGACAAAGGGAGGGCAUUUCAAGGGCUGAAGCGCCUGAUGUGGCUCCACAAUGCCCUGGGUAGCGUGCACACAGCCAGCAGCAGGGAUGUUUCGCUUUCAAAUGCCAUGUGGGAUUCUCAGAAGAGCCGAGAUCCCUCAGAGCUUGAAAACAGCAUCAGCAGAGACGAGACUUCAAGCGUGAUGAAGCAGCUGCUGGAACCGAUGGAAAAAGAGCAAGGCUUCCCCCUGUUAAAGAAGCCAGGUAUACUGCAAUAUAUGAAGACCCCAAAGGGUAACUGGAACCACAAGACCUUUUUAACCUCCUUCAAAUCAAUGAGCUGAGCAGCAAGAGAAAUCCUAGUGCCCAGCCACUGAACUGUUCCUACUAGUCUGAAUCCAGCUCAGUUUAUCCAUUGCUUUAGACAUGUGAUGUUGUGAGGAAAAGCUCUAAUGCAAAGGUGAACCGCAAAAGAAAAAUAAUGUUCAUUUGUUCCAUUAACUACUCCUAGAUGCUGAAUAAAGAAAGCCUCAUAAGGACCCCA
RNAcentral lists this long non-coding RNA (782 nucleotides) under Apteryx rowi (Okarito brown kiwi). Its description in RNAcentral is "lncRNA (ENSARWG00000012053.1)". The record is from RNAcentral. Lineage: Eukaryota; Metazoa; Chordata; Aves; Apterygiformes; Apterygidae.